Molecule: long non-coding RNA, 340 nt
Filed under: Lathyrus oleraceus (garden pea)
Lineage: Eukaryota; Viridiplantae; Streptophyta; Magnoliopsida; Fabales; Fabaceae
Description: Pisum sativum (pea) long non-coding RNA (PSAT_LNC001768)
Source: RNAcentral
UUUUUAAAAUUAUAUUUAAAUAUAAAAUAUGAUUUAUAUUUAUCCAUUAUACUCUUUAUAUUUAUUUAUUUAUUCUUUUAUUUUUAAUAGAUAAAAGUUGUUGUUACAUGUUGACUAUAAAAGAAAAAUGCUAAUAUAACUUGCGGCAAUAACUUCCACUUAAUAUUAACUCCGUCUCACUUCCACUUUCUAUUAUUAACUUCCACAUACUGUAAUUUUUUAAAAUUAUAGUUAAAUAUAAAAUAUGAUUUAUAUUUAUCCAUUAUACUCUUUAUAUUUAUUUAUUUUUUCUUUUAUUUUUAAUGAAUAAAAUUUGUUGUUACAUGUUGACUAUAAAAGA